GACGAACGCUGGCGGCGUGCCUAAUACAUGCAAGUUGAGCGCUGAAGGUUGGUACUUGUACCAACUGGAUGAGCAGCGAACGGGUGAGUAACGCGCGUGGAAUCUGCCUUUGAGCGGGGGACAACAUUUGGAAACGAAUGCUAAUACCGCAUAAAAACUUUAAACACAAGUUUUAAGUUUGAAAGAUGCAAUUGCAUCACUCAAAGAUGAUCCCGCGUUGUAUUAGCUAGUUGGUGAGGUAAAGGCUCACCAAGGCGAUGAUACAUAGCCGACCUGAGAGGGUGAUCGGCCACAUUGGGACUGAGACACGGCCCAAACUCCUACGGGAGGCAGCAGUAGGGAAUCUUCGGCAAUGGACGAAAGUCUGACCGAGCAACGCCGCGUGAGUGAAGAAGGUUUUCGGAUCGUAAAACUCUGUUGGUAGAGAAGAACGUUGGUGAGAGUGGAAAGCUCAUCAAGUGACGGUAACUACCCAGAAAGGGACGGCUAACUACGUG
This 497-nucleotide ribosomal RNA is filed under the name uncultured bacterium. Its description in RNAcentral is "partial 16S ribosomal RNA". It matches the Rfam family "Bacterial small subunit ribosomal RNA", at positions 28 to 507 of the family's 1533-position model. The record is from RNAcentral.